GUCUUUGCCUGUAGGUGGGGACCACCUUAACCUGAGGUGGCCUCGGGCGUGGGGCGAGCUGGCGAGUCUCAUGAAAGGGUCCCCACCCUGUGGGGGUCUCCUCAGCAUGGGGUUUGUGCGUUCCAUCACAGCAGUCGGAUGUGACAGGUGCAAAGCCCUUCAGAGUCCCUCAUUUCACCAGGCCUCAGACUCGGCGGGACAGAACGUUACAUCGAAGAGACACCUGCUUCGUUCCUCCCGGAAAGGGGAGUGCACGUUCCUCGGGAAAGGACACCGAAGUUGCAUGCUUUGCAAAGACUUCACGAGAGCAUCACGUAAACGUUCCGUCAAAAGACUUCACAAAAUGCAGAGGAAUUGCACUUGGUCAUACACUUAGAUGGCUCUGCGGGUAUCUUAAGGAAUCGCUAGACUUUACAAAAUCAUGGCGGCUGAUUCCUGCCAAUGAGGAAAGUCUCAUCCAAAGAACAGUCUUCGACCUUGUAUCAAGAUAAGCGAUUGAGUGAAGAUUUAAAUUUGUAAAUGUUUGAGGCGCGCUCCUACGUAUCCUUUACAACUGACUUAUUUUUAUUAGUGAGGCAAUUCGACAGCCCCCCUGGGUGGAGUACGAGGCUGCCGCUGUAUUUGGGACGCCCCCGGUGAACUUGGGGUGGGUUGUCCGUGCCGCGCCAGCCCCCCUCACUCCCGGGCAGAGCGCCCUCCAGGCAGGAGGCCAGGCACGUCUUGACCUAUUACAUCAUCGUCGUUUUCCUAGUAAUUAAAUGUGCAUUCUUCACAAUGAAAGGUUACAGACAUCAAGAGCUUCCUGGCAGCAUAACUGACAAGGAUUUGUGGAGAAGAUCCAUGUACACGCGUAACCAGCAUGCUACCGUGUUCGGAGACAACACAACGAUGACAGACGCAAAGAACAAAUGUUAAAGGUAGCUAUUUUCCAAUAUUGUUUGAAAAGUACGUAUCUAAUUAGAGACGAAUCUGUUUAAACUCACCAGUAAAAUAAAGAAAGAAAAAAAAAAAAAACUAGGUCA
Molecule: long non-coding RNA, 1022 nt
Filed under: Felis catus (domestic cat)
Lineage: Eukaryota; Metazoa; Chordata; Mammalia; Carnivora; Felidae
Description: lncRNA (ENSFCAG00000049363.1)
Source: RNAcentral